GGGGAAUAUUGCGCAAUGGGGGAAACCCUGACGCAGCGACGCCGUGUGAGGGAAGAAGGCCUUCGGGUCGUAAACCUCUGUCGGGAGGGAAGAACCGCCAGGGUCCGAACAGGACUCUGGCCUGACGGUACCUCUAGAGGAAGCGCCGGCUAACUCCGUGCCAGCAGCCGCGGUAAUACGGAGGGCGCGAGCGUUAAUCGGAAUCACUGGGCGUAAAGCGCACGUAGGCGGCUUGAUAAGUCGGGCGUGAAAGCCCUCGGCCCAACCGAGGAAUUGCGUUCGAUACUGUUUGGCUUGAGUCCUGGAGAGGGUGGCGGAAUUCCGGGUGUAGGAGUGAAAUCCGUAGAUAUCCGGAGGAACACCGGUGGCGAAGGCGGCCACCUGGACAGGUACUGACGCUGAGGUGCGAAAGCGUGGGGAGCAAAC
RNAcentral lists this ribosomal RNA (426 nucleotides) under uncultured bacterium. RNAcentral's name for it is "bacterial SSU rRNA". It matches the Rfam family "Bacterial small subunit ribosomal RNA", at positions 356 to 773 of the family's 1533-position model. The record is from RNAcentral.